UUCCUUCCUUCCUGAGCGAGGGGCGGGGCUGUUUAAGCUUUUGGCUGCUUUUAAUCUAAUCAAGGGGCUGCGCCUUCCAGGCAAGUCUUUUGUGUUUGUUGUUUUCCCACCUAGAACAGCCUGCUCCACGAGCUAGAGGGAGCCCCAGCUGACGAAGCGUCAAGGCCCCAGCUGACAAAGCGUCAAGGCGAGUUAAGCAGCAGAGACAAAAGAGGGAGGACUAGAGACUUUCAAUUCUGGACUACCUUCAUAGGUGCCAUGGCUCGAAAACACCAUGCAUGCCAACCUUGAGUCCUAUGAUGGAAGAAUGGCAGAAUAGAAAAAUACUAAAGAAAUCAAUGAUUGCCUGGUUCACACAUUAUGUUUCUCCACCUGAGUGCAUAUCCAGGAGCAUUUGGAUCGGAACUUCUGACAUUGAUAAAGUAUUGUGUAAACUGGCACUAACUUAACCCCUUAAACAGGAUUCCAUUAUAUCAGUUACAGCUACAUCACAAAAGCACAAAGAGCAGUAAACAGAGUCCAGGGGACUAAUUUCUCCUUACACAAGGAAAGGGAUGAUUUAUCUGACCUUUGCUUCAAGCCUCUGAUCUUUUUGUGGAGCCUGUGAAAUGAAGAAGGGACCUUGGCUACCGUUCUGGUGAAGAAAAAGAUCUUGUAUUGAGUGACAGCUUCAUUAAGCAAGUUAAAGGCGCAGAAGUAGAGGUGAAGAGGGUGUAAUGGCUGAAGCAGAGACUCUCUCUUUCUGCAGAGACUGAGCUUGCUGCCCAUAGACCAUGAUGGAAUUGUCCCCUCCAUCAACUGCUCUCUCUUAUGGGCCGAGCAUAUCAAUGAAGGCAUCUGUCAGUCAGAGUCAGCCUCCAUCAUCCCUAUUUACUUGCAAGGUUUGCACUAUACCUGAGUUGGCAGUAAGAUGUUACAGAAAGCUUGAAUAGAUAUUUUCAGUCUUUGUAUGGCAACAAAUAAACAAUAUUUGUUAUUA
Long non-coding RNA from Rhineura floridana, 979 nucleotides. RefSeq lists it as uncharacterized. The record is from RefSeq and is a predicted model, not a curated record. The transcript is spliced from 2 exons. Lineage: Eukaryota; Metazoa; Chordata; Lepidosauria; Squamata; Rhineuridae.